Salvelinus sp. IW2-2015 is the source of this 812-nucleotide long non-coding RNA. RefSeq lists it as uncharacterized. The record is from RefSeq and is a predicted model, not a curated record. NCBI's taxonomy places the organism in Eukaryota, Metazoa, Chordata, Actinopteri, Salmoniformes, Salmonidae. The transcript has 2 exons.
UGUGCGGCUGGUCGACUGCAGGAAAACACCAGGGCGGAGUGGAACUGUGAGAGAAGGACACGAGGAGGAGGGAGAUUUGAUUUCAUCAAGGGACAGCACUAACCAUUCUCUCAGUUGGAGGGCUUGUCAUCUCGGCGCCUCAACAACAUCGUAUUGCUGACGAGACAGAGAAGUGUCUCUAUCAAUCAGAACACCCCAAGAAACACCUGCAGAGAUGUAUAGGGAAGAAACCUCAAUACUGCUGCUCUGACUGUAGGAAGAGUUUCACUAGCAGGAGUGACUUCAUUAUUCACCAGUGGAUUCACACCCAAGAGAAACCGUACUGCUGCUCUCAGUGUGGGAAGAGUUUCACUGCUUCUUAACGCCUUCCAAUCUCAUCUGCAAAUUCAUGCAGGGGAGAGGCCUUACCCUUGCCUUGAUUGUGAAAAGAGCUCCAAUCAGUCAAGCAACCUGACUACACACCAGCUAACACAAACUGUAGAGAAGCCUUAUAGCUGUGAUCAGUGUGGAAAGAGCUUUGCUGUAGCUUCCACCCUGAGUAGACACCAGGUACACACACUGAGAGAAGCCUUAUAGCUGUGAUCAGUGUGGGAAAAGCUUUGCUGUAGUUUCUUCCCUGAUAGACACCAUCGAACACACACUGGAGAGAAGCCUUAUAGCUGUUAUCAGUGUGGGAAGAGCUUUGCUGUAUCAGAAAAACUAACUAUACACCAGCGAACACACACAGGAGAGAAGCCUUAUAGCUGUGAUCAGUGUGGGAAGAGCUUUGCUGUAGUUUCCUCCCUGAUUAGACACCAUCGAACACACACUGG